This 499-nucleotide ribosomal RNA is filed under the name uncultured bacterium. RNAcentral describes it as "bacterial SSU rRNA". It matches the Rfam family "Bacterial small subunit ribosomal RNA", at positions 15 to 518 of the family's 1533-position model. The record is from RNAcentral.
GAUUAUGGCUCAGGAUGAACGCUGGCGGCGUGCUUAACACAUGCAAGUCGAACGGAGUUUUAACGGAAGUUUCGGAUGGAAGUUAAGAACUAGUGGCGGACGGGUGAGUAACGCGUGGGUAACCUGCCUCAUACAGGGGGAUAACAGUUAGAAAUGACUGCUAACACCGCAGUAAUAUAGUGAAACCGCAUGAUUUUUGCUAUCAAAUAUUUAUAGGUAUGAGAUGGGCCCGCGUCUGAUUAGCUAGUUGGUGGGGUAAAGCCUACCAAGGCGACGAUCAGUAGCCGGCUUGAGAGAGUGACCGGCCACAUUGGGACUGAGACACGGCCCAAACUCCUACGGGAGGCAGCAGUGGGGAAUAUUGGACAAUGGGGGAAACCCUGAUCCAGCGACGCCCGCGUGAGUGAAGAAGUAUUUCGGUAUGUAAAGCUCUAUCAGCAGGGAAGAUAAUGACAGUACCUGACUAAGAAGCCCCGGCUAACUACGUGCCAGCAGCAGC